RNAcentral lists this transfer RNA (88 nucleotides) under Candidatus Omnitrophota bacterium. RNAcentral describes it as "Candidatus Omnitrophica bacterium tRNA-Ser". It matches the Rfam family "tRNA". From Rfam's summary of the family: Transfer RNA (tRNA) molecules are approximately 80 nucleotides in length. Their secondary structure includes four short double-helical elements and three loops (D, anti-codon, and T loops). Lineage: Bacteria; Pseudomonadati; Candidatus Omnitrophota. The record is from RNAcentral.
GGAGAGGUGGCCGAGUGGUCGAAGGCGCUUGUUUGGAGAACAAGUGAACAGAAAUGUUCCCAGGGUUCGAAUCCCUGCCUCUCCGCCA